Molecule: ribosomal RNA, 255 nt
Filed under: uncultured bacterium
Lineage: Bacteria
Description: partial 16S ribosomal RNA
Rfam family: Bacterial small subunit ribosomal RNA
Source: RNAcentral
GUACGAAGGGGGCUAGCGUUGUUCGGAAUUACUGGGCGUAAAGCGUGCGCAGGCGGCCUUCCAAGUCAGGGGUGAAAGCCCAGAGCUCAACUCUGGAAUUGCCUUUGAGGACUGUGAGGCUUGAGUACGGGAGAGGUGAGUGGAAUUCCCAGUGUAGAGGUGAAAUUCGUAGAUAUUGGGAAGAACACCGGUGGCGAAGGCGGCUCACUGGCCCGAAACUGACGCUCAUGCACGACAGCGUGGGGAUCAAACAGG